GUAAGCAUGAUUGGUCCGAGUCAACAUUUCUAUGGGAAACAAAUAAAUCAAACGUUUUAACUGUUUGAUGUGAGAUCACCAGCAUCUGAUCGGUCAGUUGAAUAUCUUGCACUGCAGAAACAAUUCUGAAAAUUAUAAUUGGCUAGAACGUGUAAAAAAAAAUAAAUAAGGUGGCGGAACUACAAAUGUUUUUUUCUGACAAAUAGAAUGACUGUUUAUUUCUCAAUAGAAGUCUACAGGAUUGUGGAGCCAGCAGGAACUUCCUGUUUGGACUCCAAGGGGGAGGAGUCACUCACAACAGCUCUCUUAUUAAUAUAAUAUAAUUUACAUUUUUAUUGUCUACCUCUAUAGCUCAUUUGUGUUUACAUUUCAUUGUCACCAUGUGUGUCUGCUCAUUUAUCGUAUUAUAUUACCUUUUUAAAAUGUUAUGUGUCUUUACUGGUUUUAAUGCUUGCAUUCUUUGUAUUUUGUUUGUACUUUUACGUUUUUAUAGGGAGACAAUCUUCACAUCAAUCCAGGUACAGCAGAUGGAAAAAUCACUCUGGUGCAUUGGCAGCAAUGCUUUUUAAUGUGCAAUGUCCUCGUUAAAUAAAUACAAAUUUACAGUCAAUGGUGGAAAUGCACAAGCCAAAGCAAUUACUGGAUUAUCUGGACAUGUUGGUGGUUACCAUUUUCAACACCUUCCUUCAACAAUAGCAGUUUGUUGUGAAGAUGUUCUAAUUCUGCGCUGCUUUUAACAUGGAUCAAAUACUUUUAUUUUGUUUGAUCUUGUAAGUCAUACGUUCCCCUUAAAAUGGCCAUUUUGUUUUAUGAUUACAACAAAUGUUUAUUUCAAAAUGACCAGCUAUGUUUUUGACUCAAUUAAAAAUGUACUUUUCA
This is a long non-coding RNA of Oryzias melastigma (Indian medaka), 879 nucleotides long. RefSeq lists it as uncharacterized. The transcript is spliced from 2 exons. The record is from RefSeq and is a predicted model, not a curated record. NCBI's taxonomy places the organism in Eukaryota, Metazoa, Chordata, Actinopteri, Beloniformes, Adrianichthyidae.